GAUGAAGAACGUAGCGAAAUGCGAUAAGUAAUGUGAAUUGCAGAAUUCAGUGAAUCAUCGAAUCUUUGAACGCACAUUGCGCCCGCCAGUAUUCUGGCGGGCAUGCCUGUCUGAGCGUCAUUUCAACCCUCAUGCCCCUAGGGCGUGGUGUUGGGGAUCGGCCAAAGCCCGCGAGGGACGGCCGGCCCCUACAUCUAGUGGCGGACCCGUCGUGGCCUCCUCUGCGAAGUAGUGAUAUUCCGCAUCGGAGAGCGAUGAGCCCCUGCCGUUAAACCCCCAACUUUCCAAGGUUGACCUCAGAUCAGGUAGGAAUACCCGCUGAACUUAAGCAUAUCAAUAAGCGGAGGA
RNAcentral lists this unclassified non-coding RNA (348 nucleotides) under soil metagenome. Its description in RNAcentral is "partial contains 5.8S ribosomal RNA, internal transcribed spacer 2, and large subunit ribosomal RNA". The stretch from base 1 to 120 matches the Rfam family "5.8S ribosomal RNA", at positions 35 to 154 of the family's 154-position model. The record is from RNAcentral.